Molecule: ribosomal RNA, 552 nt
Filed under: uncultured bacterium
Lineage: Bacteria
Description: partial 16S ribosomal RNA
Rfam family: Bacterial small subunit ribosomal RNA
Source: RNAcentral
GGGAAUCUUCCACAAUGGACGCAAGUCUGAUGGAGCAACGCCGCGUGAGUGAAGAAGGUUUUCGGAUCGUAAAGCUCUGUUGUUGGUGAAGAAGGAUAGAGGCAGUAACUGGUCUUUAUUUGACGGUAAUCAACCAGAAAGUCACGGCUAACUACGUGCCAGCAGCCGCGGUAAUACGUAGGUGGCAAGCGUUGUCCGGAUUUAUUGGGCGUAAAGCGAGCGCAGGCGGAAUGAUAAGUCUGAUGUGAAAGCCCACGGCUCAACCGUGGAACUGCAUCGGAAACUGUCAUUCUUGAGUGCAGAAGAGGAGAGUGGAACUCCAUGUGUAGCGGUGGAAUGCGUAGAUAUAUGGAAGAACACCAGUGGCGAAGGCGGCUCUCUGGUCUGCAACUGACGCUGAAGCUCGAAAGCAUGGGUAGCGAACAGGAUUAGAUACCCUGGUAGUCCAUGCCGUAAACGAUGAGCGCUAGGUGUUGGGGAUUUUCCGGUUCUCAGUGCCGCAGCAAACGCAUUAAGCGCUCCGCCUGGGGAGUACGACCGCAAGGUUGAAAC